AGAGUUUGAUCCUGGCUCAGGAUGAACGCUGGCGGCGUGCUUAACACAUGCAAGUCGAACGGGGAUGCUUAUGGAAGGAGUGCUUGCACUUUGGAAAUGAGUAUCUUAGUGGCGGACGGGUGAGUAACGCGUGGGUAACCUGCCCCAUACCGGGGGAUACCACCUGGAAACAGGUGCUAAUACCGCAUAAGCGCACGGGAGCGCAUGCUCCUGCGUGAAAAACUCCGGUGGUAUGGGAUGGACCCGCGUCUGAUUAGCCAGUUGGCAGGGUAACGGCCUACCAAAGCGACGAUCAGUAGCCGGCCUGAGAGGGUGGACGGCCACAUUGGGACUGAGACACGGCCCAAACUCCUACGGGAAGCAGCAGUGGGGAAUAUUGCACAAUGGGGGAAACCCUGAUGCAGCGACGCCGCGUGAGUGAAGAAGUAUUUCGGUAUGUAAAGCUCUAUCAGCAGGAACGAGACAAGACGGUACCUGACUAAGAAGCCCCGGCUAACUACGUG
RNAcentral lists this ribosomal RNA (503 nucleotides) under uncultured Lachnospiraceae bacterium. Its description in RNAcentral is "bacterial SSU rRNA". It matches the Rfam family "Bacterial small subunit ribosomal RNA", at positions 8 to 507 of the family's 1533-position model. Lineage: Bacteria; Bacillati; Bacillota; Clostridia; Lachnospirales; Lachnospiraceae. The record is from RNAcentral.